GGAUUAGGAAAAGGUGGCAGCAAUGAUCAGAGGGAAAAAACUUACAAAGAGAUCGAACUGAACUGGGGCGUAGAGAGAGAGAUCGGUCAGCUCCAGGCCCAGCGAGGAGACGAAGCUAAACACGCAUUCCCCAAGUUCCUCCUCUUUCUCUAACUCACGCUCGCAGAAGAUUUAAAUCUUCCUAGAAGGAAGCGGUGCCAAGAGAAGACCGUC
Molecule: long non-coding RNA, 213 nt
Filed under: Elaeis guineensis (African oil palm)
Lineage: Eukaryota; Viridiplantae; Streptophyta; Magnoliopsida; Arecales; Arecaceae
Description: long non-coding RNA (EGUI_LNC013796)
Source: RNAcentral